This is a non-coding RNA of Mycena leptocephala, 93 nucleotides long. Lineage: Eukaryota; Fungi; Basidiomycota; Agaricomycetes; Agaricales; Mycenaceae. The record is from the annotation of a GenBank genome assembly.
GGCCCAAUGGCCAAUGGUGGCGCCCGCACCGCAUGAGGUAUAGUUGUUCACUGAUGCAAGUGGGAGGUCCUGGUUCGAUUCCGGGUUGGGUCA